GUGGGGAAUCUUGCGCAAUGGGCGAAAGCCUGACGCAGCCAUGCCGCGUGAAUGAUGAAGGUCUUAGGAUUGUAAAAUUCUUUCACCGGGGACGAUAAUGACGGUACCCGGAGAAGAAGCUCCGGCUAACUUCGUGCCAGCAGCCGCGGUAAUACGAAGGGGGCUAGCGUUGCUCGGAAUUACUGGGCGUAAAGGGCGCGUAGGCGGACAGCUUAGUCAGAGGUGAAAGCCCAGGGCUCAACCUUGGAAUUGCCUUUGAUACUGGCUGUGUUGGGUUUGGGAGAGGUGAGUGGAACUCCGAGUGUAGAGGUGAAAUUCGUAGAUAGUCGGAAGAACACCAGUGGCGAAGGCGACUCACUGGCCCAAUACUGACGCUGAGGCGCGAAAGCGUGGGGAGCAAACAGGAUUAGAUACCCUUGUAGUCC
This 425-nucleotide ribosomal RNA is filed under the name uncultured bacterium. Its description in RNAcentral is "partial 16S ribosomal RNA". It matches the Rfam family "Bacterial small subunit ribosomal RNA", at positions 354 to 796 of the family's 1533-position model. The record is from RNAcentral.